GACGAACGCUGGCGGCGUGCUUAACACAUGCAAGUCGAACGGAAAGGCCCGGCCUAUGUGCGGUGCUCGAGUGGCGAAGGGGUGAGUAACACGUGAGUAACCUGUCCUUGACUGUGGGAUAACUUCAGGAAACUGGGGCUAAUCCCGGAUAGGAGCUAUCGCUGCAUGGUGGGGGUGGGAUAGUUUCGGCGGUUGGGGAUGGACUCGCGGCUCAUCAGAUUGUUGGUUGGGUAGUGGCUGACCAAGGCAUUGACGGGUAGCCGGCCUGGGAGGGUGAGCGGCCACAUCAGAACUGGGAUACGACACAGACUCCAACGGGAGGCAGCGGUGGGGAAUAGUGUACAGUGGGAGGGGGCCUGACGCGAUAACGCCGCGUGGGGGGUGACAUCCUUCGGUUUGGGAUCCGCUUCCGCCUGUGACGAAGCGUGAGUGACGGUAAUGGGUGAAGAAGCACCGGCUAACUACGUG
This 468-nucleotide ribosomal RNA is filed under the name uncultured bacterium. Its description in RNAcentral is "partial 16S ribosomal RNA". It matches the Rfam family "Bacterial small subunit ribosomal RNA", at positions 28 to 507 of the family's 1533-position model. The record is from RNAcentral.